RNAcentral lists this ribosomal RNA (496 nucleotides) under uncultured bacterium. Its description in RNAcentral is "partial 16S ribosomal RNA". It matches the Rfam family "Bacterial small subunit ribosomal RNA", at positions 29 to 507 of the family's 1533-position model. The record is from RNAcentral.
AUGAACGCUGGCGGCGUGCCUAAUACAUGCAAGUCGAGCGAACAGAUGAGGAGCUUGCUCCUCUAACGUUAGCGGCGGACGGGUGAGUAACACGUGGAUAACCUACCUAUAAGACUGGGAUAACUUCGGGAAACCGGAGCUAAUACCGGAUAAUAUAUUGAACCGCAUGGUUCAAUAGUGAAAGACGGUUUUGCUGUCACUUAUAGAUGGAUCCGCGCCGCAUUAGCUAGUUGGUAAGGUAACGGCUUACCAAGGCAACGAUGCGUAGCCGACCUGAGAGGGUGAUCGGCCACACUGGAACUGAGACACGGUCCAGACUCCUACGGGAGGCAGCAGUAGGGAAUCUUCCGCAAUGGGCGAAAGCCUGACGGAGCAACGCCGCGUGAGUGAUGAAGGUCUUCGGAUCGUAAAACUCUGUUAUUAGGGAAGAACAAAUGUGUAAGUAACUAUGCACGUCUUGACGGUACCUAAUCAGAAAGCCACGGCUAACUACGUG